Molecule: long non-coding RNA, 220 nt
Organism: Chelonia mydas (Green sea turtle)
Lineage: Eukaryota; Metazoa; Chordata; Testudines; Cheloniidae
Exons: 3
Source: RefSeq, a predicted model, not a curated record
CCUGAAAUGUUAUAUUUGAUUAGAAUAUGUGUUAAUUACUUAAGCUAAACAAUCUGUUCCACAUUGUAGCUAGCUGUGACACUUUGAGUAUCUUUCCCAGACUUGAAGAAGAGCUCUGUGUAGCUUGAAAGCUUCUCUCUUUCACCAACAGAAGUUGGUCCUAUAAAGGAUAUUACUGUACCCACCUAGUUUUUCUAAGGGCAUGUCUACACUGGCAAAG